This 313-nucleotide ribosomal RNA is filed under the name uncultured archaeon. RNAcentral's name for it is "bacterial SSU rRNA". It matches the Rfam family "Archaeal small subunit ribosomal RNA", at positions 1 to 317 of the family's 1478-position model. The record is from RNAcentral.
UUCCGGUUGAUCCUGCCAGCGGCCACCGCUAUAGGAAUUCGAUUAAGACAUGCGAGUCGAGAGUCGCAACAGACUCGGCGGACUGCUCAGUAACACGUGGAGAACGUGCCCUUAAGCGGGGGAUAAUCUCGGGAAAUUGAGGAUAAUACCCCAUAGGUCAUGGGACCUGGAAUGGCCCAAGGCCGAAAGCUCCGGCGCUUAAGGAUCGCUCUGCGGCCUAUCAGGUAGUAGUGGGUGUAAGGUACCCCCUAGCCGACGACGGGUAUGGGCCUUGAGAGAGGGAGCCCAGAGUUGGAUUCUGAGACACGAAUCC